UGGGGAAUAUUGCACAAUGGGGGAAACCCUGAUGCAGCGACGCCGCGUGAACGAAGAAGGUAUUCGUAUCGUAAAGUUCUGUCCUAUGGGAAGAUAAUGACAGUACCAUAGAAGAAAGCUCCGGCUAAAUACGUGCCAGCAGCCGCGGUAAUACGUAUGGAGCGAGCGUUGUCCGGAAUUAUUGGGCGUAAAGGGUACGCAGGCGGUUUAAUAAGUCGAAUGUUAAAGAUCGGGGCUCAACCCCGCAAAGCAUUGGAAACUGAUAAACUUGAGUAGUGGAGAGGAAAGUGGAAUUCCUAGUGUAGUGGUGAAAUACGUAGAUAUUAGGAGGAAUACCAGUAGCAAAGGCGACUUUCUGGACACAAACUGACGCUGAGGUACGAAAGCGUGGGGAGCAAACAGG
This 403-nucleotide ribosomal RNA is filed under the name bacterium. RNAcentral describes it as "partial 16S ribosomal RNA". It matches the Rfam family "Bacterial small subunit ribosomal RNA", at positions 355 to 776 of the family's 1533-position model. The record is from RNAcentral.